This 253-nucleotide ribosomal RNA is filed under the name uncultured bacterium. Its description in RNAcentral is "partial 16S ribosomal RNA". It matches the Rfam family "Bacterial small subunit ribosomal RNA", at positions 524 to 776 of the family's 1533-position model. The record is from RNAcentral.
UACGUAGGGGGCAAGCGUUGUCCGGAUUUAUUGGGCGUAAAGAGCGUGUAGGCGGCCAGAUAGGUCGGUUGUGAAAACUGGAGGCUCAACCUUCAGACGUCGACCGAAACCAUCUGGCUAGAGUCCGGAAGAGGAGAGUGGAAUUCCUGGUGUAGCGGUGAAAUGCGCAGAUAUCAGGAAGAACACCCGUGGCGAAAGCGGCUCUCUGGGACGGUACUGACGCUGAGACGCGAAAGCGUGGGGAGCGAACAGG